GACGAACGCUGGCGGCGUGCCUAAUACAUGCAAGUUGAGCGCUGAAGGUUGGUACUUGUACCAACUGGAUGAGCAGCGAACGGGUGAGUAACGCGUGGGGAAUCUGCCUUUGAGCGGGGGACAACAUUUGGAAACGAAUGCUAAUACCGCAUAAAAACUUUAAACACAAGUUUUAAGUUUGAAAGAUGCAAUUGCAUCACUCAAAGAUGAUCCCGCGUUGUAUUAGCUAGUUGGUGAGGUAAGGGCUCACCAAGGCGAUGAUACAUAGCCGACCUGAGAGGGUGAUCGGCCACAUUGGGACUGAGACACGGCCCAAACUCCUACGGGAGGCAGCAGUAGGGAAUCUUCGGCAAUGGACGAAAGUCUGACCGAGCAACGCCGCGGGAGUGAAGAAGGUUUUCGGAUCGUAAAACUCUGUUGGUAGAGAAGAACGUUGGUGAGAGUGGAAAGCUCAUCAAGUGACGGUAACUACCCAGAAAGGGACGGCUAACUACGUG
RNAcentral lists this ribosomal RNA (497 nucleotides) under uncultured bacterium. Its description in RNAcentral is "partial 16S ribosomal RNA". It matches the Rfam family "Bacterial small subunit ribosomal RNA", at positions 28 to 507 of the family's 1533-position model. The record is from RNAcentral.